UGGGUUCACCUGGGUAGUUCACCUGAUAUAAGGGUCAUCUGAUAUCAAAUCUGAAGUUAGUUCACUCGCCAGUUACACAGUAGUAAGCCAAUCUCUGACAUUGGGUGUAGUGGAAAAAAGUAGGAAUUUUAUUGCAAAGCACUGAGCAAGGAGAAGAGGCAGCUAACACUAUAAUCCCAAACUCCUGAAAAAGGUACAAGCAAGGGUUUUUAUUUAGGGUUUUAGGUAGGAGUUGGGGAGCAUGUGGCCUUGGGGGCAGAAGUUCUAAGAGUCCUCUGCACAGGAAUGACUGUCUGUUCUAUGUGUUGCAUGGUGGAUUUUUAGUCUUUGAUGUGUAAAGUUGACAGUCUUUUUAGCUUCUCAAUGUUCCUGCAAGAUGCUUACUCAGGAGGAGGCCUGUCAGCAAAUUCCUCUCUUAUCGGCGGUCCUCCUGCUGUUGUGCAAGGCAAGCUCAGAUGCUUUGGUUAUUUUGUUUCCCACGUUAACCUUGUGGGUCAAAGGCACAGUUUCACCCUAAUCCAGGGAAAUUUUAACUCCUUCAUCCUCAGUGUCAGUUCUUCUCCAUGUGGUGUGAGCUGUGGCUGCCGUUAUCUGAAGACUCAACCAGUUUGGAAUGUCCAAGAUGGCUCACUGGAGGUUCAACCGAUUUGGAAUGUCCAACGUGGUGGCCGUUGGUCUCUGCUGAAGGCUGGGAUCUCAUGCGGGGCUGUCACUUGGACACUUCAGUUCUCUUCCCUGUAGCCUCUCCAGGUGACUCGCUUAGGCUUCCUUAAAAGUAUUGUCGUUUCAGGAUAAUCAUACCUCUUCUCCAUGGUGGCUGGAUCCUAGGAGUACAAAAUUGGAAACCGUCAGGCCUUUUAAAGGCUUAGGACAGGAAUUAGCACAAACUUACUUCUGCAGCAUUCUCCUAUUUAAAUAAGUCACAAGGCCAGCUUAAAUUCAAGAGGAGGGCACUAAAUGAGGGGAACACCAGAAGGAGUUGUUCAUUAGUGCCCAUCGACAUAAGAAAUCACCACAGCCUCCUAUUCCUUCUCUUUCCAGAUGGAAACGUUCGUUUGUCUCUCACAGGCUAUAAUGAAGUUGUCAGCCAGGGCUGGGGUCUCAUCUGAAUGUUCAGCUGGAAGAGGAUGUGCUUCCAAGUUCACUCAGGGUAUUGACAGAAUUUAUUUUCCGAUGGGCUUUUCUCCUCGCCGGCGUCAGCUGGAGCCACCCUCGUGUUCCUUGUCAUGUGACACUCUCUCCAUAACAGAGCUGUCAACAUGAGCAGAAUGCUUCAUCAAAAUCAGCAAGGAAGAACAUCCACUAUUAAGAGACUUUCAUCUUCCGUUACAUAAUAACAGAAGUGACACCCUGUCAUCUGUGCCAUAGUCUAUAGGUUAAAGGCAAGUCACGGGGCCUGUCCACACUCAAGGGAAUUACACACGGGACUAGCACUAUUCCAGAUAUUGAUCAGCCUGAAUCCUGGAGCUGACUCACUCUAGGGCAUGGAGUUGGCAUUAUGGAGCCCAUUGUGCAAGAAAUAAGAUUCAGCAAUCUCGUAAUUGCAGAGACUACACCUCAACCCAUGUUUUCUGUUCCCAGGAGAAUUAUGAUUUGAGGAGGAGAUCUGGAGAUGCUUCGUACCAAGCAGCCUGUUGAGGACCUCACAGUGCUCAGGUUGCACACACUCUGAAUGUCUCUUCAACUUCAUCUUCAGCCCACAGGUAACAUCGAGGACCUGGUUUCUCUUAGCCUCUGGCACUACCUCCUACACGAAUGCUAACAUCCAUUCCUUUUCCAGUUGUAGAUCUCAGGGGCUGGAAUCUAACUAGGGUCCUGAGUAAACAAAGAGGGCUACAGCACAAAAUGCUACAUUGGGGCUUUUAGCCGUAGAUCACUCUAGCCCCGACAAACCACUGACCUUCUGCUCUGGCCAGCCAGACACCUGACCUUCCUCCAGAACCUUAUCUUGCCAUCUUUUACCCUUACGGAUACAUCUUCCACUAUCCAUUUUUCUAUUAUUACAUUUCUCUGUAUUCACCCUCCUCAUUAAAGUUAAUUUCUCUAAUUAUAGAAAAGAGAAUGAUUUGCUUCUCAAGUUUUCCUUCCAUGUGGAUUUCCUUCUCUCCAGUUCCUGCACCUCUUCUUUCCAAAGUCUUGCAUUUCUGAUUUCUCCUUUCUUUUGCACAUAUCAGACUCCUUCCUAACUUCUGUUUAAUCUCUUCCUUGUUAAAAGUCAACCCUUUCAAAUCUCUUUUCACUUUAGUCUCCCACCUGAAGGUCCCGGGCUUUCUUUCUUCACCAUCAUGUCCAGAGCACACCCUUGGGGCUAAGCUGAGGGCUCUGGUUCACAGACUAGGCAAAUGGCAGACAGCAGAUCAUGUUAUCUGCCAGUCUGCUCUUCUCCUAUCACAGCUGGGCCUGCUCAGAGAGCUGUCGUGAUCCAUCUAAACUCCUAUUCUGUACAUUGGCUCCUCCCAUCCCUGGCGUAUUUUCUUGAGAAUGGAAACCAUUAUUGUAAACACAAUUUCAAUGGAUGUUUGGUGGAGGAGGCAGGUUAGUGUGCGGGAUGGCCAAUGAUGAGCGUGGAGCAGAGGAAACAGAGCGGCAGGGAGAUGAGAAAAAUGUGGAUGAGAGACCAAUUACUGAUUUUUACUAUGGGAGUGUCCCAAUGCUUCACAAAAACCAAAGGAACAAGAGCAGUAAGGAGUCAUAGGAAUAAAGUUGCACAGAUCAUUUCUCUCCCGUAUAUAUACAUAUAUAUAUAACGUAUAUACAUAUAUGACACUAUAAAUACACAGCAACAUUAGAACAUAAACUGAUUUCAUAAUGUAUAAAAAUAUCAUAUCACUAUGUUGUCACCUGAAACUAAUAUAAUAUUGUAUGUCAAUUAUAAUUCAAUAAAAAAAUUUUUUAAGAGGACAUAAAUUGGAAGGGGAAUAAACAGAGUUCAAUUGUUCUAAGUAUCUACAUUUGACGAAUAAAUGGAAACAGCAUUAACAUAUAUUAGAGCUGAAUAUUAGAACUGAAUACGUACAAAUUACACGUUCUGUUGUCUAGGGUAACCACAAAAGGAUUAGUAGAGAACUGUAUAACUAACAAGUUAAGAGGAAGGAAAAAAGGAAUAUUAAAAAAUAUUCAGCCAAUUCAAACAUAUAUAAGAAAUAAGGAACAAAAAACAGGCAAGAGAAAUGGACAAGUUGUAAGAUAUCAAAUCUAUACACAAACAUGGCAACAUUUCAUUAACUGUUAAUAGACUAAAUAUUAUGCAAAAGGCAAAGAUUGGUAGAGUUUUUAAAAAACAAUAUGCUUAUACCAGAUAUACAAUUUAAAUAUAAGGAUACAGAAAUAUUGAAAGUAAAGGAAUGAAAAAAAUAUAUAUCACUCAAAUGCUAACGGAAAGAAAGCCGCCAUAGCUUUGUAGUUCUAGCUCUACUAACCCUGGACAAAAUAGACUUGGGGAGUGGUUAACAGCAAUAAGGAGGGAAAAUCCACCAAUUAUUUUAAUUUAUAUAUCAGUAACAAAUAUUGACGUUUGUCCUUUAUAUGAAAAUGCAGUCCUCCAUAUUUCUAAACUAAGGAUAUAUAUGAAAUAAAAUAUUCUCUAUUAUCAGAAAAGAACAUCUUUUUAACAUCAAAAUAAGAAAUUACACUAUGUCAGCUCCACUGUGCUCUCAGUUCCAAGACUCCAUGGUUCUGUGAUUCUGAGUUUCCAUGGUUUUGCAAGCCUCUGAUUCCAAUCCAAGACAGUCCAUAUUCUGGAGGAUAUGAAGCCAUUUUCACUGUUCUGACUGGGAAUUCCUGUGGCGAUAUUUUGGUGAUACUGGUGUGGGUCAUGGUAAAGGAAAGAAAGGUGACUUUCAAAGGAAAAGUAGCAAACAGUGAGCCAGCCCUGAUGGCCUAGUGGUUUAAAGUUCGGUGCUCUCACCACUUCAGCAGCCCAGGUUCGUUUCCCAGUUGCGGAAGCA
Non-coding RNA from Equus caballus (horse), 3947 nucleotides. The record is from RefSeq and is a predicted model, not a curated record. NCBI's taxonomy places the organism in Eukaryota, Metazoa, Chordata, Mammalia, Perissodactyla, Equidae.